Molecule: ribosomal RNA, 619 nt
Filed under: uncultured fungus
Lineage: Eukaryota; Fungi
Description: eukaryotic LSU rRNA
Rfam family: 5.8S ribosomal RNA (bases 266-419)
Source: RNAcentral
AAGUCGUAACAAGGUUUCCGUAAGUUCUUAACCGUCUCUAUAGCCUCUGUCAAAUCAAUACUAACAAUUCUUAUAGGUAGGUGAACCUGCGGAAGGAUCAUUAGAGAGACAAAACGAAGUGUAAAAAGCUUCAACUCUCCAACCCUAUGUUUAUCAACCUCUGUUGCCUCGGCAGCCUUCAAAGCUGCCAGAGGGAUUAUACAAACACUUGAUUUUAAAAACCAUCUGAACUUUGCUGUUAAGCAAAAAGAUUUAAUUAUCUAAAAACUUUCAACAACGGAUCUCUUGGUUCUGGCAUCGAUGAAGAACGCAGCGAAAUGCGAUAAGUAAUGUGAAUUGCAGAAUUCAGUGAAUCAUCGAAUCUUUGAACGCACAUUGCGCCCCUCGGUAGCCCGGAGGGCAUGCCUGUUCGAGCGUCAUUUAAACUCACUCAAGCUAGUUCUUGACGUUGGAGUCUUCUAUUGGUUUAGAACUCUCAAAUCAGUCGGCGAGUCUCAUAGAAUCUCAGACGUAGUAUAACAACCACCGUUUGAUCAGAGUCUAGUGAGGCUUUUGUGUCCUGAUUAAUGAUAAUCCAAAUUUUGACCUCGGAUCAGGUAGGGAUACCCGCUGAACUUAA